Molecule: ribosomal RNA, 454 nt
Filed under: uncultured organism
Description: partial 16S ribosomal RNA
Rfam family: Bacterial small subunit ribosomal RNA
Source: RNAcentral
ACGUACACUCCUGCGGGAGGCAGCAUUGGGGAAUAUUGGACAAUGGGCGCAAGCCUGAUCCAGCCAUGCCGCGUGAGUGAUGAAGGCCCUAGGGUUGUAAAGCUCUUUCACCGGUGAAGAUAAUGACGGUAACCGGAGAAGAAGCCCCGACUAACUUCGUGCCAGCAGCCGCGGUAAUACGAAGGGGGCUAGCGUUGUUCGGAUUUACUGGGCGUAAAGCGCACGUAGGCGGACUAUUAAGUCAGGGGUGAAAUCCCGGGGCUCAACCCCGGAACUGCCUUUGAUACUGGUAGUCUUGAGUUCGAGAGAGGUGAGUGGAAUUCCGAGUGUAGAGGUGAAAUUCGUAGAUAUUCGGAGGAACACCAGUGGCGAAGGCGGCUCACUGGUUCGAUACUGACGCUGAGGUGCGAAAGCGUGGGGAGCAAACAGGAUUAGAAACCCCAGUAGUCCCAUG